RNAcentral lists this ribosomal RNA (497 nucleotides) under uncultured bacterium. RNAcentral describes it as "partial 16S ribosomal RNA". It matches the Rfam family "Bacterial small subunit ribosomal RNA", at positions 28 to 507 of the family's 1533-position model. The record is from RNAcentral.
GAUGAACGCUGGCGGCGUGCCUAAUACAUGCAAGUCGAGCGAACGGACGAGAAGCUUGCUUCUCUGAUGUUAGCGGCGGACGGGUGAGUAACACGUGGAUAACCUACCUAUAAGACUGGGAUAACUUCGGGAAACCGGAGCUAAUACCGGAUGAUAUUUUGAACCGCAUGGUUCAAAAGUGAAAGACGGUCUUGCUGUCACUUAUAGAUGGAUCCGCGCUGCAUUAGCUAGUUGGUAAGGUAACGACUUACCAAGGCAACGAUGCAUAGCCGACCUGAGAGGGUGAUCGGCCACGCUGGAACUGAGACACGGUCCAGACUCCUACGGGAGGCAGCAGUAGGGAAUCUUCCGCAAUGGGCGAAAGCCUGACGGAGCAACGCCGCGUGAGUGAUGAAGGUCUUCGGAUCGUAAAACUCUGUUAUUAGGGAAGAACAUAUGUGUAAGUAACUGUGCACAUCUUGACGGUACCUAAUCAGAAAGCCACGGCUAACUACGUG